Molecule: ribosomal RNA, 700 nt
Filed under: Staphylococcus sp. K170
Lineage: Bacteria; Bacillati; Bacillota; Bacilli; Caryophanales; Staphylococcaceae
Also listed under: 1 other name
Description: bacterial SSU rRNA
Rfam family: Bacterial small subunit ribosomal RNA
Source: RNAcentral
GAUAAGGAGCUUGCUCCUUUGAAGUUAGCGGCGGACGGGUGAGUAACACGUGGGUAACCUACCUAUAAGACUGGAAUAACUUCGGGAAACCGGAGCUAAUGCCGGAUAACAUUUGGAACCGCAUGGUUCUAAAGUAAAAGAUGGUUUUGCUAUCACUUAUAGAUGGACCCGCGCCGUAUUAGCUAGUUGGUAAGGUAACGGCUUACCAAGGCAACGAUACGUAGCCGACCUGAGAGGGUGAUCGGCCACACUGGAACUGAGACACGGUCCAGACUCCUACGGGAGGCAGCAGUAGGGAAUCUUCCGCAAUGGACGAAAGUCUGACGGAGCAACGCCGCGUGAGUGAUGAAGGUUUUCGGAUCGUAAAACUCUGUUAUUAGGGAAGAACAAAUGUGUAAGUAACUGUGCACAUCUUGACGGUACCUAAUCAGAAAGCCACGGCUAACUACGUGCCAGCAGCCGCGGUAAUACGUAGGUGGCAAGCGUUAUCCGGAAUUAUUGGGCGUAAAGCGCGCGUAGGCGGUUUCUUAAGUCUGAUGUGAAAGCCCACGGCUCAACCGUGGAGGGUCAUUGGAAACUGGGAAACUUGAGUACAGAAGAGGAAAGUGGAAUUCCAUGUGUAGCGGUGAAAUGCGCAGAGAUAUGGAGGAACACCAGUGGCGAAGGCGACUUUCUGGUCUGUAACUGACGCUGAUGUGCG